Molecule: non-coding RNA, 75 nt
Organism: Podarcis lilfordi (Lilford's wall lizard)
Lineage: Eukaryota; Metazoa; Chordata; Lepidosauria; Squamata; Lacertidae
Source: the annotation of a GenBank genome assembly
AGGGAUGUAGCUCAGUGGCAGAGCACAUCCAUGUUUACAUGCAAAAGGUCCCAGAUUCAAUCCAUGGCAUCUCCA